UCAUUAUAGAAUUGAAUAUACAUAAUAUCUGAACGUAAUUCACUGUUAAUUAGUAAAUGAAUAUUAAACAAGACAUGAUGGAUUGUGACACUAGGGACGUCCGCUAGAAGGUGCUUUAGGAGGUGUUGGAGGUUGCCUUGGUUUGUCAAGGUCCUUGCCUUCUUGUGGUGAAAGUUGACGACCCCUGAACCUCAAAAUCCUAUCUGAUUGCCGUUUAUGGAAAUGGAUGGUACUUUCCUUACAGCCCGUACAGGUGUCAACUGCUGCAUUUCCUUCCUUAAUCUCUGUACACAUUGAAUAUAAGUGACUGGUUAACUCAAAACAAAUUGAAUGAACACCGUUACAUACAAGAAGGUAUUAAUUUUGAGUACUCAAAAAAGUAUAAUGAGAUUGUACAAAUUUUUUGACAACUUCUCUGGAAUGGUUGCUUGUGGAGUCAUUUGAGGCAUUACUUGUCUCCAUGGUUAUGGACAUGCAUCAAAGUUCCAUAUGUGACGCGUAACAUCGCAGUCGCGUAUUGAUUAUAAGUAAACGAGGUUCAAAUAUAAAGAAAUGAAAUGCUAACCAUCAUUUGCGUUAAGAGCAAGGUAAGACAAUUAAUCUCACCUUUUAUUCGCAGUGGUUCGUGUGGUUCAGAUGAAGAGUAAGCCAACCCAAGCUCAAGCAAUAGGAUGACAAGUAAUGCAGUGGCUGCUAUUGCAAGGAGCUUCGCCAUUGAUAAUGAAGAAGCUGGAGUUAUGCAUGGGAUGUCUUGCUAUGGCAUCUUUUAUAAGGGAUGCUCUCUCUCUCUCUCUCUCUCUCUCUCUCUCUCUCUCUCUCUCUCUCUCAUGGAUAUAUUAGGUAUUUAUUACAAGGAAAGAGAGAAAAAGGAUACCAAGGGCGGGUCAAGUAAUAGCUGCGGAGAAAAGUCAAGGAAAUUUUUUUUGUUUUUUUUUUGGGCCUUAGUUGGUCUCCUCUUUCACACACUAGAAAAGAAACACGCCCUUGACUUGAAAAAUAGCCACCGUUUCUCCCUUGGUCCAAUAAUGGCGAAAAAUUAACCCAACUUGAGCCAAGUAAGAUUAUCUAAUAGUAACUGGCGCAGAUCCCCUCAAAAAGAGAGUAUGUAAAGUGUAAAUCCAGCUGCCACCUUCAUCAAUCAUUCCUCCAUCACAUCUCUGGUUAACUUCUUCAGCACCAUUCAUCUUUCUCAUUGCCAUUCAU
RNAcentral lists this long non-coding RNA (1203 nucleotides) under Prunus persica (peach). RNAcentral's name for it is "long non-coding RNA (PPER_LNC003044)". The record is from RNAcentral. Lineage: Eukaryota; Viridiplantae; Streptophyta; Magnoliopsida; Rosales; Rosaceae.